GCCAAUCAGGAAUAUAUUAUUGACACAUACUGAAAUUUAAACUAUUAAGAGAACAUUAGCAUGGCCCCUUGCACAAAGAUUACACGAGCAAUCGCGAGGUGUGCUGAUUUUUU
Molecule: small nuclear RNA, 113 nt
Filed under: Strongylocentrotus purpuratus (purple sea urchin)
Lineage: Eukaryota; Metazoa; Echinodermata; Echinoidea; Camarodonta; Strongylocentrotidae
Source: RNAcentral